Molecule: long non-coding RNA, 25205 nt
Filed under: Coffea arabica (coffee)
Lineage: Eukaryota; Viridiplantae; Streptophyta; Magnoliopsida; Gentianales; Rubiaceae
Description: long non-coding RNA (CARA_LNC002814)
Source: RNAcentral
UUUUUUUUUUUUUUUUUUUGCAAUUUGACAAAAUAAUGAUGUACUAUGUACUACCCUUUAUAAAGGCAAUGAGGCCAUAGACUAUUGAUAAAAACAACUGAGGUUGAGUUCUAAGAAUUAGAGAUUCAUUUUAUUUUAUUUUUAUUUUUUGGUAAGCUAAGUCUUGGAGGUUAGGAAAUCUAACCAUGCAUUAGUGUUCAUCCUACUAUUUGUAGGUUAACUUGUAACAUCAUAAAUGACCCUACCAUUGUGGGUUUCUGCCACCCUCUUUUGUCUGUACUUUGUACGACCUUUCAUGUUCUCAUACAUCAAAAGUAUAGUACAACAAUCUAAAAGACAAAGCAAGGUAUCCAUGUCUUACAUGCAAUUAUGCUAUUCCUUUGGUCCAUUCAUGACAACAUGCUAUUCCUUUGGUCCAUUCAUGACAACACAUUGACAGAAACUCAUCUUUGGUCCUUAAGGUGGACGCGGGGCUGGAGCGGUUAUCAGAACAAUCGCUCCGGAAGGUGUAACAUCAUUUGUACAUGGUGUAACAACUGCUCCGAAAGGUAUAAUAUCAUUUGUACAUGGUGUAACAUCAUCUGUACAAGGUAUAAUAAUAGAACAACAGCGAGUAACAUUAAAACAACAUUUUUGUGGGUCCCACACGGCGUGAAAAUCGAGUUACAAGACGUGAUCUGAACCGCACAAAUUUUUGAGACCUCAUCCAAGCCGUGAACUGCCUGGGACGGUUGUCAGGCCCCUCGUCCCCUCGUCCCCUUAAGGUGUCCUAAAGAUGACAAAAUUCAGUUGAUCAGUUUGUCAUCCCCACAUUUCUGCAGCUCCAAAAUGAGAGGCUCAAAUAGUUCCAGGAUAAUAACAUGGCCCAUGCAGCACUAACCAAUUUCUUGACUCCAAAAUCAAUUAAAUUGCUACCCUAUGAAGAAAAAGCAGCAACAGCAAGAGCAGCGUGUUCAUGAUGGUGAAAACGAACAUGAUCUGGAGAUCAUCAAGGCAGUAGCACAAGCAUGGUAUGCCAAUUCCAGCAGCUCUAAGUCAUCACCAAAUGAAUUUGAUGCCCACCGGCGAAAUUUCAAGGGCAAGCCUAGCAGAUUCAAGCUUGAAGCUGCAAGAAAAGCAUCAUCAGGUGACGGAUAUGGCAGCAGUAGUAGUACAAGUAGUAAUUGGGAUUUUGGCCAAUCCCUUUGGGAUUCUUAUGAGAUUGUUACAAUUGCAAGAAGGUUGGAAAGAGGUUUAGUUUUGGAUCAUACAUUCUCUGAAAAGGAUGAUGCAGGGCAUGUUUUCAAGAAGAGGAAAGAGAGUAAGAAUAGCCUCAGGAAUUUACUUAAUAGGAUAUCCUCUAGGAGAUUUAAUGAACCACUUGCACCCCAAGAAGAAGGAAAUCUGUCUCUUGAUAAGCCUGGAUGAUGGCUCAAAUUUUUAGGUCAUUUUUAGCCUUCUUCUUUCAUAUCUUGCUUUCAAUUGAAUUGAAUUGGGUGACAAAUUAUUUAGUUGCAAUAUAUUUUUAGUGUUUAUUUUUUUUCUUAAAAAAAGUGUGGCAAAAAGGAAGGCAAGUUGGACAUGUGUGUCAUUUAAUCUGAAGCUCAGGAACCAUGAAUAGAUGCAUUUUAAUUUAGUAACAAUUAGUUUGCAAUUACAGUCAAUGAUGCAAUUGAAGCUUCUGGGAUUAUGCAUAUCAAUGAAAAAUACAGUUCAAAAUCUCAACUGCUAAAGUUUCGCCGUUUAUUGGUUGUUGAUCUUGUACCUUUUCUUUUUCUUUAUCUUUUUCUUUUUUGGGUCAAAAUGUUGAUCUUGUACUGCAUGUCUAGUAUCAGUACAUUUUGCUUCUGGCUUUUAUUUUUACUUUUUGUCUCCUAAAACCUGAUAGUUCUUUUGCUUUUUGUCUGCUGAAACCUUAGUGUUCUUUUAGUGCUUCUUCAAGUGGGAUAGGGACAGUACAUUUCAGCUUAUUAACAUGGGUAGAAGUAGUAAGUUAAUAAGUAAUAGAUAAAUAAAAAGAGACAGGAAGCUAAAAAACAGGAGUAGCAUGGAAUUUUGCAAAUAAAUUCUGUCAAAUGACAUAAUCCUAGAUGAUUAACCUAGAAAAGCAGGCCUAACAGGUUUGUAAUGGACAAAUUUAUGACCACUCCAGUGGGAGAGUAGUCAGUGAGGCUCGUUCACAUUUGCAUUGUUAUAUUUUAGAGUUCUUGUAGAAAAACGAACUGUAACGAUUUGAUGUAUGUAAGAUUAAAAAAAAAAAAGGAAAAAAGGAAAAGAAGAAGGUAUGGUAUUGACAAAUCACAAAAGGCAAUUGGAAUAAAGAUUUCAGUCAAUUGCAAGAAGCUGCAAACUGGUUAGUUAUACUUGAUAAUGGUAAUGUAUCCUGCAGUUGAGGGUGGUAGAUCAUUAGUGGGCUAAGUUGUAAUAAUACAAAAGAAGCCUCAGUUGGGUUUUAUUAUUUUAAGGGAGCUUAAACCUAAAAUUCUUUGUUUUCUCUUCUAGAGAGGCUUAGAUUAAAUGAUUUAAUAGGUGUUUCUUUAUCAUCUCAGAAAAAUAAAAAGAAACUGAUAGUAGAUGACUUUAUUUGAUUUUUUGGGUCUAAAACACUGAUACUCCCCUUAAAGUGUUAAUUUCAUUGUGGUCCUUCAAAAUGCUCCGAAAUCUAUAUUGAUCCUCCAAUUCAGAAUAUACUUUCAAUUUUGUCCUCAAAGUUUUUUUUUUUUUUUUUUGUUUGGGUACGGAACAAAAGGAAUUCUAAUGAAAAUAUUUAGAAUGCAAGAUAUCUGAAUGAUAUUUUCUUAAAUCUCAAAAAAACUUAAUGGGAUCUAAGAUAAGAAUAACAUAUAGAAAAUUACCACCCAAAAAAAUUAGCUGAAUGGGCUUCAGCAUCUUAGAAUAAAAUUAAUGUUUAAUUAUGAAUAAAAUCCCUAACACACUUGUUAUUCCUUAACACAUGACUAAUAUUGAUACAUGACUUUAGGAUACUAGAUCAUAUCGUAACGCUCUUCCUGUGUUAAUCCGGGUUUGAAAGGCCUUUCGAACAUCCCUGAAACAUACAGGGCAAGUUCCAUAAAUGUCUUUAAUUUUCUCCCUAGUUGCUACUUAAUUAAAAUUCUAUGUUGGAAACACUAUGAUUGAGGGUCAAGGUGUGUGACUAUAACUUUUAAGAUUAACUUCUUAUGAUUGAUAGUGUACUGAUUUUUUUUUUUUUUACACUAGAUAUAUUCCACAUAUCCAUGAUAUGAAUUUUAAAUUUGAAUUUAUAUUAUGUAGCAACGAUCUAAAUCUGCUAGUAUAUAAAAAAAAAAUACCAUUGACAAUAUAUAAAAAACUUACUCUAAAUUUUACUCAAGCCCCCAUUAGUUCCCCUUGAUCCAGUUGGAGCCUUCCUUAGAUAGGUUAGAGUAGGAGUAGGAGUAGGAGUAAUGUAAAAAUUGCCGAUUGAUCGAAAAAACAUUUUUUUUAACUCAAGUAUAAAAUCAUCUUUUUACACCUGUAUAGAAAAGAUUAAUCAUUGAUUUAAAAAAAAAAUCCAAGACUGCAGGAGUCAAUAGAGGGAUGAACUUGCAAUUCAUGGCUUUUUACAUAUAUGCCUUCACUUCCUGGACGGGUGGCAACUUCGAUGUGGCUCUUUGCAAAAUAGCUUGUUUUAUUUCUUUCUUAAUUCUUGCUCAAUUUGGCAUUUUCUCUUUUCCUGUCUUUAGUAUGACAAGCUCAUUUUGAUGAACAUAGUAUACAUUUUCUGCAUUUCCAGUCUCUUCUUCCUUCAGCCUUGACCUAUCACAGCGUUUGCUAGGUGGACAUCCAUCUGAGAACUGCCAUCAUCAAUUAGCUGCUGAAACCUUUUGCACAAACAAUGCAGCAUCUUUCUUGGCUGCAAUUAUUUGAUAAUGGGCUUAAGGUCAAUCGGCAACAGUAAUCAGGUUCUCCAAGAAGUGGCUGCACAGGGAAGACGAAAACUAUCCCAGGUCAAUGAUUCGGACAUCAAUCUCAAAAGAUGAAACUGAUAACCUGAGAUUCACCAUAAACAGCACACUGACAAUGUAAAGGCAGCUCCAGGACAAUCUUCCUACAAGAAGAUGUAGAGUUGCUUUCAACUUUUUAACUAGUAAUCUUCUAGAAAUUUUAAACAAAUUGAUGUAAGGAGCACAUAUCCAAGGCAUGCAUGAGUGAAAUGAAAUGAAAAACAUCCUCACUUACAUAUAAUAUGCACAUGCUGGCCUCCAGAAUUUACCAUCAGAAAGAAUCAGAAACAAGUGCUUUUUCUGUACUUGGAUGAAUCAGCUUCUCCACAGAAAUGUGCUUGCUAUUUUGGUAUUUCUGGUAAGGAGUGAAUGUGUCAAAAAGGAGACAAUGAAUAAGCAACUUAAGUAAGAAACCUACUUAAAUUGAUUAAACUUAUAAUCACUAUGGAGCAAUUAAAUGGUAAUGCAAGGCUCUCAACUUUAAAAUAAGCCGAUGACAAAUUCAAUUUUCAUUUAAGUUUCUGUACAUUUUUAACUAGUCAUGAUACAUCCUCAAAUAAAGAUUUUGAAAGAGAUAUCAUCUCAGAAAAGAGCAAAUGAAAUGAUUCAACAGCUAAAAUUCAAUGAACAUGCUUAUAUUUCAGCAGGAAAAUACCACAAUGUCCUUCAUGAUUUAUACCGAUGAUCUCAAUUAUGAACUACUGAUCAGGACUUUGAUCUCAUAAGUUGCUUCCCCAAUUUCUUUUGCAGACGCUUCUGCAGAUUGGCCACACCAAUGCACCUCGAUGGUCUCGAGGGUUGGUAUGGCCCCAAAAUCAUAAGGAAUUUCCUCAAGAUUUUUGCAAUUUUGUAGCACUAAUCAUUCAAAUUUGGGAAGGUGAUCACUACAGGCGUUCCACUGGGCAAUGUUCACGGUCUCUAACUUCAAGAAUUUAAGUUCCUGGAACUCUUCUUCUCUCAUGUCCCAUCUUCGCCCAACAAAGGCAGCACUUGAAGUUUUGGUAGCCUUCCUGUCACAGAAAUAUGAUUCCAUGGUAGGUUCAUAUUCUUUAGAUUCAGUGGCAGAAUCAGGUAGCUGGCACUAAGAAACCAACCAAAGUAAAAUAUCUAGUGUCUCCAAUGAAACAGAGAAUUCAAUCUCUGAAAUUGGUUCAUAUUCUUGGAAGAAUCCCAUGAUUCCAAGAAUAUGCAUCUCAACAUGGCCAAGUUAGGUAACCUUUUAAGUAUCUUCUCCGUAUCUUCCCCAUAAGAAAGUGCUGGCAAGGAAAAGCUGACCAAAUUCUAUAGAUCAAAAGAACUUCCAACCUCUUCAUCUUGCAAGUUGAAAGCAACAUGUUUCUUAACAUGAAGAUGCCUUAAACUUGGCAGGUGACAAAUAAUAUCUGGUAAGAUGACCUUCCAUGGAAACCAGUCGCACAAAAUGUUUCUAGUUUCUUGAGGUUGGCUAUUGAUCGUGGAACAUUCCGUAUGAACCCACUGACUGCUAAAUAUCUCAAUCGAACCAGCAGUACUAGUUCAGCUGGAAAAGAAACACCCAGGUUGAUACAUUCGGAAUCCAAAACCCGAAGAAAUUUAAAAAGUUUCUACAAAUGAAUGAGAUGUCAUAAGGACAUCUAGGCUCUGAAUCAGUAGAGGUAAAGAAUAUCAAAGUACAGGUGCCAGGUCCAGAUGGUCUUGAACCCAAAAAUUGUUUCCGCUUCAAAAAACUGCUCAAUGGAUAAGCUUCAUAUGAUACAGGAUCUAAAUGGAGGUCAAAAUCAACCUCUAAACCAUAAUCUGAACCAGGAAAAGAAGCAUAGGUUUCAUCACACCUGGUUACGAGCUGUAAGAAAUUCUCUUCUUUUGCUUUUGACCUGCAAAAAUCACAUAUCAGAUAAUGAAGACAACAUGCUUUGACCUUUCCAUUUGAACAUUUUUUGGAUAUUGCAACCAAGCUUCUGUUUAUCAAGUCCAUCAAGUAGUCCUCCGCGACAUCUUCUCUGUUCUUUGACUGGGAUUUCUUUAUGAACCCUUCGGCUAGCCAAAAUUGCAUCAACUUACUGACAAGAAUCACUUUGUCUUCAAGAAAAACUGCAAAAUAAAGGAAGCACGCUUUUAGAUGUCCCGGUAGGUGCUUGUAGCUCAAGUCUAAUAUUUCCAUGGUGUGAGCUUUUGUAUCUUGCAUUAUUUCUGAACUCAAGCUUUCUGCAAUUUUUUCCCACUAAUCUCGUCUCUUCUCCAUCCUUUCCGGGAGACCAGCUAUUGCAACAAUUGAAAGAGGUAAUCCUUUGCACUGUUUAGCAAUUUUCUUUCCAGCAUCCAGAAAUUCUUCUGGACAACUUCCACCACGGAAUAUUUUCUUUUCUGGUAACUCCCAACUUUCAUCAUCAGAGAGUAAUGGGACAGGAUGACUAUCACCGGGUUUAAUAUCUAAGGCAAAAUCACUAAGACGACUGGUUAUCAAAAUUCUACUUCCAUUCCUGUCAUCUGGCAAUGAAUUUUCCAUAUACUUCCAUGCUCCAAUAUCCCUUACAUCAUCCAAAACUAUGAGGUACCUUUUUCUCAGCAAGGACUGACACAAUUUUGCUUUCAGAUCUGCAGCGUUCAUUUGAUGAAUUUCACCAGUAUGCCCUUGAAUGUCACGCUCAAUCUGAAGCAACAAUUCUCUUUUCUCAUAUGUUUGUGAAACAGUACACCAUGCUCGACGAAGAAAGCAAUACGUAACAUGUUUGCAGUUGUACACUUUUCUAGCCAACGUUGUCUUGCCAAUAACAGGAAUACCAACAAUAGAAACAAUAUUUCAACUUGACGAACUUGCAAUAAGUCGAUCAAUUAUAGCUUCUUCUUCCUCCCUUCGAUCCACCAUCAAUUCAUUCAUUACUGGUAUAACAUCCUUUGAUAUCAUGUUGCUUGAAACCUGCGUGACAUUGUUGAUAUUUUGGACUUGAGCAUCAGGGGUUGUCACAUGCAUAAUGGAGGCCUCCUCACUGAGCAGUUUUAAUUCAUCUAGUAAAUCAUAAAACCAUAUGAGAUGUAGCCUAUGAGCAUCAGACUCCAGCGAGUCGAUAACAUCUUCAAUUCUGUAUGCUACAUCCAUUACUUGAUUCCCAAAAACUUUUAGUUCUCGAUGCUUAUCAAUGUCCAACUCUGAGACGUUAACAAGUAAAGGAGUCAAUGAAUUAAGAUGUAGUUGAAUUUCUUCAAAAUGACACCUCACUGGUGCAUUUGACUCGGGAGAAUUUGUCAAGAACCAUAAUACUUGUAUUAGUGCUCUUCAGUAACUCAAACAAAAAUAACUCUGCCUUGAAAAUCACAAUCUUGAAAAGCAAACAGAGAAGUGAGUUCUUUCACCAUAGAUUUUUUUUCCUUUGCUGACAUGCUGAGGUAGAGAUGCAACAUCCUUAGCCACUUCUUUUGUGAAUGCCAACAUCUGAUUUCCAUUCUCUAUGUUCUCAUGGGGUACAUCUGUUGUAAAUCUUCUCUGACUUUCCAAAACCUCAUUGAUUUCUCCAAUUUUCAGAGGACAAGCUCUUUCUUUCAGUUGCUCCUUAACGAAGCACUGUCUUGAGAAGGCAAGCGUUUUUAAGCAGCUCAGAACACAAAGGACAAAUUGCUUCAGCUUUGUCCCGUCCCAUCUCAUGGCGAGAAGCAGCCUCUGCAAGCAAUGCCAUAAUUUCUGCACAGAUACUUCGCACAUCCUCAUGGGAGUUUUUGUCCUCUGGUUUAUUGUAGAUAACAAAGGUCACCAAAGACUUGAACUCAUUUUCAAGAUCAGAGUCCCCUCUCCCAUUGAGAAGAUAUUGGCAUAACAGUUUGUGAUGUGCUGAAUUUAUUUAGAGCUUUUAGGAAAUUGUGACUGGAAUCUAGGAACUCUAGAUUAGUAGGAUCAAUCUCAUGCAGCAAAGAUGCAAGUCCAAAAUUGAGCAUAUGGUUUGCCACUUGGAUUUGAUCUGUUUUCUGGCCAAUCCAGUAAUUACCGUACUGAAUUGCGGCGCGCACAAGGACAGAUGCAACAUGAGCUAGAAAAGCCUGAAUUACAUUCUCACUGCCACUAAUGCAGCAGAAGUUGGAGAUGGAAGUAGCAUUUACAUCAUAAAAUUAAAGGUACCUUUCCAUCAAGUUCAGCUCCCCAUGGAAAGCACAGACUUGUUUUCUAAGAUCAGGAUCAUUGACGCCAUAACUGGUGUUCUCCAGAAAAACCAGACCCUCAAUUACGGAGCCCAAAAUCUCUGACAACUGAGAAUAGUCGUAAAUGAAGUCAGGAUCCAGAUGAUAUGAGCCGGUACCUGACCGCGAAAUAUAAUCAAGAACUUGUCCAACUUCGGCCAUGAAAUGAUCAGUCCUUCGUUUGCAAUUCUCUCAAGUAAGUUGAGCAGCUCUGAAGGAUUUGAACAGCAUUUGUUGAGAACUCUUUCAAGAAGCUCUUUGGCUACGGCUUCAAUGGUGACAACCAGAUAUACCCAUUCACUACGUCCCGAGUUCUGCAAAAGCUUCCCUGCAUCACUCCACCUGUGGAUAGAAACUGUAAACAUCCUCAGAAACAUCCAAUCUUUGUCAAGUUGAUGGCUAUAUCGAUACAGAUAACUGGACAAGUUAAGGGAUUCAUCACUGGAGUCAAUUGAUGGCAUUCCAGAAUCCUCAGCAAAAUUAAAUCUUAUCCUAAAAUCAUCUUGCACCUUCACGAAGGCGAGAUGAAUGACUGCAUAACUGGAAGAAACCAUCUCCAGAACGCAAAUUAUUCUGUGCUAAUGUUUGAGAUAGUACUUUCAACUAUCCUAGUAUAAUUUAUUUUCAUAAAAAAAAAUAAGAGAGCAAAUCCACUCCCGACAAAAUGAUUAUAGUUCUCAACGACAACGAAAAUGAGCACGCGUUUUCAUGAAGAAAUAUACUGCUGACUGACUUGAAACCACACCGAUAAUAAAAGAGCGAGUGGAUCAAUGUUGGACGGCCAACUAUCCCCACUUCACGUCUAAUCAGUUUUUUUUUUUUUUUUUUUUUUAAUUUCCUCUCCUCAGCAUGGAAACGUGGUUGAGUGAAUCACGCACUCUACAUUGCUGCUACUAGAAAACGUGCUUAUUUGCCCACGUCUUCUUCAUUCUUCAUCACCCUUUUCCUAGCUAAAGCAAACAACUCCCUAAUCCAAUACUUUUUUUUUUUUUAUAUAAAACAUCAUAAUUUCAUUAAAAUUUGCAUUAAUGGCAGAAAUUACAUCAUCAAAUAUAUAAAGAUAUCAAAGAACGGAUCUGAAGAACAUAAAAUUAGAUUAUAAAGCUCUAAAUUUAAAAAAUGAGAUAAUGUAAAUCAGGAUUGGAUGUUCCCUAAUCCAAUACUUAAAUAAUGCAAAUCAGGAUCAGCAUCAAAACAAGUCGACCGGUUCCAACUCCAAGGGCCUUUUUUUUUAUCCUUUUUUUUUUUUUAAUAAAAGACAACAAAAAUUCCCCAUCAAAUGAAAUCGGUCUAAUUUUAAAUCUUUUCUCCCUUGCAAAUAAUUGAAGAGAGAGAGAGAGGAUUGUUGCUGGGAGGUGAAUUGAAUUGUGGUGCUUGUGCUUGCAAAUAUUUUUUUUUCAAAUAAUCUCUAAUGCAAACAUAGUCGGCUCUUUAAAAAUUUCAAAAUCAACCAAUUUUUUAGCAAAAUUAUUCUUUUGUAUUUCACUUUUAUGAAAAGUAUAUUGCAACUCUAAAUUAUGUAAAAAGUUCCAAAAUUGUGUAAUGAUUUUAUUUUUCUUAUCAAACUAACUUUCUUUAAAACUGAACUAAUUGCAUAAUAGUUUAAAAGGUUAAUUAUACUUUGUCCCUCUGGACUUGGUCCCUAGUAACACUUUGCCCUUUCACUUUACUCCUUUUGAUCAACUUUUUAACAGAAUUAAAAUGAAGUUAUAUUUUGUAUGACCAAAAUAUCUAAGGUUAGGUCUUGAACACGUACAACAAUUGUAACAUAAUAAAUACAAAUAAUAAAUCUUGAAUCUUGUUUCCACUUUCCCCAACUCGCUUAUCUUCUACUAAAAGCCUCUAGGUUCCGAAACAUCGUGUUCAUUUCUUCUAUUGCAGGUUUGGCGCGUAUACAAAAUGCAUCUGUCUAUGCAGCAACAGAAGGUGCAAUGAAUGAAUUCACCAAGAAUUUUGCUUGUGAAUGGGCUAAAAGAUAACAUUCGGGCAAAUUGCAUUGCACCUGGGUCUAUCAAAACCCCCCGUUAGCAAAACCUAUGCUUAGUACUGAUGAAAAGCUGAAAAAAAUUGAAUCCAGAACUCCAAUGAAGCGAUUGGGAGAACCAGAAGAAGUUUCAUCCCUGGUUGCUUUCCUUCGUCUCCCAGUUGCUUCCUACAUUUGUCGAUGAAGAAAUUACUGUUAAUGGAAUCCGGUGGGACUAAUCAUUAUAAACCCUUGGAUCUUGUUAUCGAUGCAAUAUUUCAGCAUGAUACUGGUUUGUAUUGUUUCUUGAUGCUUGCAUUGCUUUUGUUUUAUCCACAAGAUUGUUGUGCAAUAGGAAUAUAUGAAUUUGGUUUCCAUGGAUAGUGAGAAUGUAUCUCCAGCUAAUUGGACUGUUGAUUAGGCUAGCUCGAGCUUAGCUCUUAACAAAGCGUCCUAAUUUAUGUAAAGUAGGUUUAGGCUGAACUUCGCCCUUCCCAAUAUUAAACUCAAGUGAAAAAUUAGUUAAGUUUGGAUUGAGAUAGGUUCAGCUCAAUUAAAAUACGAUCCAUUUUAAGUACGACUUGAUAAAUAUAACUACGUAUGGAUUAGGUAUUUUUGGGUGUGUUUUUCAAAAAGUUUAUUAUAACGAUGUAUGUGAAAAACUUUUAUUUUAAAUGAUUUAUUUGGAUUCAGUGUUUUUAAAAACAUAUUUUGGGGUACUUUUAGAAUUUAAAAUUUUUUGAGCAUUUUAUGUAAAUUUGUUAAAAAUAACCCAUCAUCCUCCCCUCCUCCCUCCUUUGUGCUGCAACCACUCCCUCGCCCCUUCUCCUCUUUCCCCCUCCUCUCCCUCCCCCUCCAUCUUCAUCUCUCUUUCCCUUCCCUCCCCUCCCUUCCAUCCUCCCUCCGCCCUCUUCCCCUUUCCUCUUUUCUGCUCCCUUCCCCUGCCCCCCACCGUGAAGCUAGGGAAGGCGGUUGGCGGAGGGUGGAGGAAAGGAGUGGAGGGGAAUGGUGAGGGAAGGGACGGGUGAAUGGGGAGGGAGGAAGGAAGGGAGGGUAGUAAGAGGUAGAGGGAGAAGGAUGGUAGGAAAAGGAAGAAAAGGGAGAGAGGAGGGGAGAGGUGGCGGCGAAGAAGGAAGGAGAAAAGAGGUGGUGGAUGGUGGUGCAUAGUGGGUGAAAAAAGAAAAAGUGGUAGAAUUUGUUACUUGUUAUUUUUCUUAUUUUUAUAAGUUAUAUUUGAUAUUGUGUGUUUUUUGAAUUAUUUUUAGAGUUUGUUAUUAUACACCCCACAAAAAAAACAAAACAAUUGUAAGAAAAACACUCAAUUCAAGCAAAGCCAAUGCAUUUUAGCAUGAGAUCUUGGAUCCAUUUUCAAGUUAAACCCGUCCACUUUAUCCAAUCUUCCUUUGAAAAACAUGUCAUGUAUUUGAUGUUAUUCUCAUGUUAAGUUGAAAUAAUCUUCUAUUGUUGAUGAAAGUAUGCACAAAUCUUGAGCUCAAAUCAAUUUGAAUCACCUUGGUGAGCUUUAACUUAGUAUCACCAACAUUUAUUGUGCUGUGCAUUUGGAAUGGUGAGGUUAUUUUUCCUGGUAAAUCAAAAUUGGGUUGAGUUCGAGUCGAUCCACAAAGUUAAAAGUCUAAUCAUGGAAUCUUAUUGUCACCUUACUAAUAUUCCAACUAGUUGUGUUUUAAGAAUGAUAACCUAAAAUUUGAAUAACCCAAAAAAGACAAAUAGCCACGUGAACUCGUUAGUGAUAUGGUGAGUAAACAAAAAAUCAUCUCAUAUCUAAUAAAAACUUGACAUACCCUACAUUUCCAUUGAUCUUUAACUUGAUCUCAUAGCACAAUUUCACAAUUAUACGAAACAACACAUAUAGUCAACUGCUGGAGUAAGACUAACAUGAACAAAAGCCCCACACUUAUUUUGAGUUGAGAAUUAAUGUUAGAAUCUUACAAAGAAUCAGACAGAUGCAUGCGAUGUCGGAUGCGUAGACAACCAAGAAACUGCAAGUUAAUCUUCAUGGGUUAAUUACAUUUACCUCCCCUGAGGUUUGAUCAUAUUACCAAUUAAUUCUUGUAAUUUGUCCAAAUAACGGUCUCACCCUUUGAAUGAUCAAACAUUUAACAAAAACCCCUUUAAUGCCGAAAAUGCCCUUUUUGAAGCCAUGUUGCAUUAAAAAAAGAACAUAUUUUUAUUUUUUUAACCCUGAAGCAAUCCAAAAAAAUAGAAAAAAGUUUUUGCUUAUUAUUUUAUAAAAACCAUAUUUUUGUUUCCAUAAAUAGUUUUGAAUCAAUAAUUAUUUUAAAUCUUAAAAAUUAGAUAAAUUGAAAGAAAAAUAAAAAAAGAAGAAAUUAUUUUAAUUCCUGAAGUAUGGUUCAAAUUGAGGAAAACAUGCCUUGUGCUCUCCGCAACAUGCCUUGAACCACAAAUUCGAACCAUACUUGAGGAUUUAAAAUAAUUGAUUCUUUUUUAUUUUUCUUUCAAUUUAUCUAAUUUUGAAUAUUCAUUUUUAAGAUUUAAAAUAAUUAUUGAUUCAAAACUAUUUAUGGAAGCAAAGAUAUGAUUUUUAUAAAAUAAUAAGUAAAGACUUUUUUCUAUUUUUUGGAUUACUUGAAGGUUAAUAAAUAAAAAUAUAUUCUUUUUUAAUGCAAUAUGGCCUCAAAAAGGGCAUUUUCGGCAUUAAGAGGGUUUUUGUUAAAUGUUUGAUCAUUCAAAGGGUGAGACCGUUAUUUGGACAAAUUACAGGGAUUGAUUGGUAAUAUGGUCAAACCUCAGGGGAGGUAAAUGUAAUUAACCCAAAUCUUCAUUCCUCUCUCACACUUGUAUCCAUAUAUAUACAUACAUACAUACAUACAUACAUACUAGUAAUAGUUCGCGUGCAAAGCACGUGAUUGUAAUAUUUUAAAAUAUAUUAUUCUUUAGAUACUAAAUUUUUUUUUAUGAAAUUUUGAUAAUCAACAUCAUAAUAUAGCAUUUUUAUGUUAUUUAUUUUUUUAAACUAGUUACUUUUAAAAACUUUAUUAAAUGAAAAGAGAUAAAAAAAAAAUCCCAAUGUAGUUGACUCCCUUAGGAUUGAAUUUGGAAUUAUGAACCGAACACUUUUUGAUUUAUAAUUUGAACUCUAACAUAUCAAAUAUUGAUAAUAUCAUGUUUUACCAAAAUUAUUGUAUAUUCAUGAUUCUAUUGCACAAAAACUACAAUCAUUACAAUUUUUUUAUAAAUGAAGAAUAUAAUGAAGUCAGAAAAAUAAACAUAUACGUAAUUUGAAUUCUUUGUAUUAUAUUAAUUCUAUUUUUAUCAAUAAUGGAGUAUAAAUGAUCCACCACAUAAAGUUUUUUUGGCUUAUACAUUCUGACAAUUAAAAUUUGAUAGAUAGAGAUAGUUGAAGUUUUUCUAUUUUUCUUUUCUUUUAUGCAUAUUUUUAGCACAAUCCAAUGCGGACCAAAAGCAACAAGUCUACUUUUUUCAUAUGAGUACAAUAUUUUUUGUUUUAUAAUCAUUUUUCUGAUAAUCAUGCAAUUGGAAUGAGAAUUAUGGGUAAUUAACAAUUUUAAUAUUAAUUUUUUGUAUAUUGCAAUGUUAUAUUUUUUAAUUGCUGACUUUUAAUCCAUAUCCGCUAUCAUUAUUAUCAAUUAUUGGAAUGCACUAAAUCUGUCUAAUUACAAUUGUCACCAUAAAUAAAAUUUACUUAAUUUUAAAGUUUUGCAUUUCAUAACCUCUUCCAUUAUUCACUAAUAUUUCAAUGCAAUAAAUAUAUGUGAUCAUUAGAAAAAUAAGGGUAUUUUGAGCAUAACCAAUAACAAUUUGGAUAUCAUUUUCAUUUUAUCAAUCCUCAUUUUAAGUUUACUCUUAUUAUAAUUCUUACUUUAUCAUUAGAGAUGGCUUUUGAUUUGGUGGAUGGAUUUGGUUUGCUCAAACCAAUACAAAUGAAGCAUUACUAUAUUAUUGUCAAUAACAAUGUUUGUCUUUCCCUGGAUAUCAAUGAUUUGGAAGUUAUCUUUAGUAUUAUUUGAAUUGUAUUCUAGUUUUUUAAUUCAUUUGCUAUUUAUUUUAUGUCAUUUUAUAAAUAGUUUUCAAUUUUUUUCAGUUCUUCUUGUUUUGAUCGGUUGCUAUUAAUGAUAAUAGUGGUUUGUAUGGUGCUAUGUUAAUUUCUUUUUUCUAGUUUAAUAAUACUAUUUCAGUUAUAAAGGUGUCAUCAUUUUUUGGUGCAAUAUGAAAAAUUCUUCAUCAUUACUAUAGAAAAACUAUGAAUCUUAGUAAAAAGUGCACAAUUGUAAAAUUUGGUUGUGAUGUUUGUAUAAAGAUAUACAGAUGAAUAAGGAUUCUCUUCUCUUUAUACGUUUCUCCAUUUUCUAGAGAAUAUCUAUUUUUUGACAUUGAUUUUUCUUUUACAAUCUCAACUAAUGACUAAUAAGAAAUUUUUCAUACUUCAAUUAAGAAAUUUUGAUAUGUUUAAUAAUUGGAGAUAGAGUCUAAGGGUAGGUAAAUAGUUUUAAUUAUAAUUACCAAUACUAUUAAGAUGUAAUCAAUUGGAGUGUUUUAUUUCUUUUAAUUAGUGCCACAUUAAAAUGAAAUAAUUCUAAUAAAAAGACAUAAAGGUAAUUUGGGGAUAACAAAAACUAAGAUAAAAAAGUGCUUACACUUAUACUUCCUCGUACCAAGAUUCAUACUUUUUAUAUAGUACGGGUAAAAUACCAAAAACUCCCCGUGAUUUGAUAAAUAUUCAAUUUAACUCCCUCUGACUUGAAAACCUACACCAUAACUCCCUAUGAUUUUGAUUAAAUUGAAAAUUGGACAUAAAACAUCAAAUCUAACGGUUGUGUGUGAAAUGUCAAUAUUGUCCUACUAUACGUGAGAUGCUUUCCAUUCAAUUUUCAAUUUAGUCGAAAUCAUAGGGAGUCUUAGUAUAAUUUUUGAAAUCUGAGGGAGUUAAAUUGAACAUUCAACAAAUUAUAAGGAAUUCAUUUAUAUAAGGGCAAUAUUGACAUUUCAUGUAUAACUGUUAGAUUAGAUGCUUUCCGUCCAAUUUCAAUUUAGUUGAAAUUACAGAGAGUUAUAGUAUAGGUUUUCAAACUAGAGGGAGUUAAAUUGAACAUUUAGCAAACCACAAGGAGUUUUUGGGUAUUUUACCCAUAUAUAAUGAUAAUGAUAAUGAUAUAUAUAUAUAUAUAUAUAUAUAUAUAUAUAUAUAUAUAUAUAUAUAUAUAUAUAUAUAUAUAUUAUGAAAUUUCAGAUAUUAAAUUGCCUGCAAUACUGACUAAGAUGAAAGAAAGCUAAAAGAAUAAAGAAGCGUUGCUGCAUUAGACGUAACAGUCAUGAAUCAUGACGGCUACUGCAAUACCACAGACAAAUCAACAAAUCUCUAGAGGAAUAAUGCAGUUAUAGAUGAAGAAAAAGAAAAGAUGAUUCUGUAAUAUUGUCCGGAAACUAGGGCAGCAUGGAAACCAAUUUUGCUUAUUCUCAAGUUUUUUCGAUUGAAUUGGACCUGGACUUAUCUUCGAUGAGUGGAGAGAUCUAAGAGAAUUAUUGAUUGGUCUUAAAGGGAUUUGCAAGCCGAUGGGGGAAUUAUAUGUUGUUUAACACUUCCGUUUGAACACUUCUUUGUCUGAAAAUGAUAUGAAUUUGUACAGUCGAUGUUAUUCAACCAUCUAUCUAGUUGUUGUUUUUUGACUUUAGGCCUACAAUAUUGUACACCACAAAAUCAUAAACCAGAAAAGAAAAUUUCAUUCCAAAUAAUCACGAAAUACUUUUCUGUCUUCAAUCAACCAAUUCAGGAUAUUUCAAUCGAAUCUUAGAACUUUUCUGGUUCCCAAAACACAGGCUCUUUGUUGCUGGUUGUCCACUUAAAAAGUUUAUUCAGGUCAUCGAUCCUUUCCAACCACCUAUCAACUUUGCACCAAAACACCCCCCGCCCCACAAAAAAAAAAAAACCAAAAAAAAGGAAAAAAAAAACCUUUUAGCAUCAUCACUACCACUGUACUACCACCCAUGUCAAAGGUAGGAGAAAAUAAUUCUGCAUGGUCUUUGUCGGGAAAAACAGCUCUAGUUACCGGUGGAAGUCGAGGAAUUGGCCGUGCAAUUGUGGUGGAGCUAGCUCAACUUGGUGCCACAGUCCACACCUUUUCGAGAAAAGAAGCAGAUCUGAAUGAAUGCUCGCAAGAAUGGUCCUCCAAGGGAUUCAAAGUGACUGGUUCAGUCUGCGAUGCAUCUUCAAGAGAGCAAAGAACACAGCUCAUCGAAAAGGUCUCUUCCAUCUUCAAUGGGAAGCUCAACAUCCUUGUAAACAACGUUGGAACAACCAAAAUGAAGCCAGCUGAAGAGUUUACCUCGGAAGAAUAUGACAUGAUCAUGUCUACAAAUCUUGAAUCUUCUUUCCACUUUUCCCAACUCGCUUAUCCUCUCCUAAAAGCCACUGGGAUUGGAAACAUCGUCUUCAUUUCUUCUAUUGCUGGCUUGGUCAGUGUAGAAGGUGCAUCUGUUUAUGCAGCAACAAAAGGUGCAAUGAAUCAACUCACCAGGAAUUUGGCUUGUGAAUGGGCUAAAGAUAACAUUCGCGUAAAUUGCCUUGCACCUGGGGCUAUUAAAACCCCAUUAACGGAAUCUGUGCAGGAUUAUGAUGAAAAAUUGAAGAAAUUGGAUGCAAGAACCCCAAUGAAUCGAGCUGGAGAACCAGAAGAAGUUUCAUCCCUGGUUGCUUUCCUUUGUCUGCCAGCCGCUUCCUACAUAACCGGACAGGUUAUAGCUGUCGAUGGAGGACUGACUGCAAAUGGAAUCCAGUGGAAUUAGUCAUUAAAGGCUCUAUCUUGCUACUGAUGCAAUAGUUCACCAAGAUCUAGUGUUUAAUCUAUACGUAUUUUGUUGUAAAAGGAAGGUAUGUGCUCGGUUUUUAUAGUAAGAAAUUGAGAAUUGACUCGUAUGAAUUCUCAAUUGGUCUACUAUGCACCACUGCUAUAUUGCACAAAGUAUGUAAUUGUGACUAUCUAAUAGUAUCUCUAGCUAAUUUGCCUAUUGAUUUAUGGGUUAAUUCUAGUACUAUGUUGAUUACUCUUCACACUUUUAUCAAAAGGUAGCAUCUAAACGGCGGAGUGCUUGUCAUGAAAAGCAUACACCUGGAAGGGCAAUUGCUGAUCUCCCGGUCUGACUUCCACCUACAGAGAUCAUGGCAGCUGCAUUGUUAUUAGAGGUGGCAAAAUGGGUGAUUUGGACCGGUUUGGGUUAGGUAAAAUGAGUAAUGGGUAUAAGUGAGUCAACUCAUUUAUAUCCAUUUAAUUAGAUUAAAUGAAUAUAAAUGGGUAAGUCAAAAAAUGAGUUGGAUAACCCAAUUAUUCUAAUUUUUUAGAAGCUCAUAUAAAUUCAUUUUGUAAACUAAAUUAUCAAUUUAUACCAUUUUACACCCAUCAUUAAUUUUAACCAUACAGGAGCUCCGUAAUUACAUUUACUCGUGCAAGUGGGCAAACUUGUCUAUUUGAACCUGCUUUCAAACAACUGUGCUAUCUAUGUGGGAUGCCUUCAUUGCAAAUGAAGGUGCAAAGGUCAUGGCAGAUCUUCAAAACCAUCCUGCUAUUAUUGGAAGAAGGUUGUAUGGUCCAGAAUUACAACGGUAGCUGAAACAAUCUUUUGGGACCGUUCCUGCAGGUCAUUAAUUGAUACAUGUAUUUGUUUUGACGGCUAUCAAUGAGAAGCUUUGCCUUCUUCCUGUCAAAGCUUUUUUGCCAAACUGUUAAAUUUCCAAGGUUGGUUUAUUCAUUUAACUAAAUAUUUUGCAGGCCGUAUGGGUAAAAGUAUCGUUCUCUUUUGAGCGCAUAUCUUUGAAAGGUUUUGGUACAUGGCCGGUGAGAAAUGUUUUUUCCGCUCUACAGAGUGCCGAUCAUGGAGUUGCAUUUAUGUUAUUCAGUCCUUUUCCCCAUGCAGCGCCAAUAUCUAUCAUUUGAUCCUGGGCAUAUUUGUAAUUUACCACCGUACGCGAGUACGAGUAUGAGUACGAGUACGGCGAUCUCUCCUAGUUUUAAUAAAUGCUUCCCUAAUUGGCUGGUCGACAUUUUGUAGAUUGAUUAAGGAAUCUAGUCAGAAAAAUUGGGAAUGAAGCAUAAUGUAUUAAUUUAGAUGACAUUAGAAUUUUAUGAUAAAGAAAAUUACUAAAAAAAGGAUUUCUUUUUUUCUUCUUUUAAACUCAUCUGUCACCUAUAAUUUGUAAAGUUUAUGAAAACUAUCAUAAUCUUUUCAUUGCAUCAAGGGAGAUAAGUGUAAUUUUACAAGACCUCAUGGGAGGUGACACAUACAAUUGUUAGAAACCUCCACGGAGGUUUAUGAAAUUAUCAUUAUUUUGAAGAUAUGAUUUGUUUCAUUGUAUUGGAUGACACUGGAUCCGGACCGCAGGGGAUUAGUCGAGCCCCGUAGGAAUUGACCCGGAUACCUCUGUAUUGACAAAAAAUAAAAAUAAAAAAAUGACGAUGACUGUUGUCCACAUUUUAUUUGUUUAGGUAAGUUAUCAUCUCGGAGAAGAUCCAUUUGGACUGUUGAUUGGUCCAGUUAGACUGUUGAUUGGGCUAGCCGGGGCCCAAUUUCCUACGAGUGUUGCGAAUUUUAUAUACGUAAACUUCAAUGGGCUCGUCUUCGGGCCGAAACAUUGAGCUCAAAUAAAAAAUACCAGCUUAAGUUGGGAGUCUAAAAUUGCUGCAGUGUGAAGUAUUUUCAAAUAAAGACAUAAAAUUCAAGAAAAGUAAUAUUCAUCCACCAAAAAUAUGUUGAAAGUCCUUAGUUCAACCAACAUUACUAAUUAAAACACAUAUGAUGUCUACCUUUCUUUUUCCAUGAUUGUUUUUUCCAUUGAAGACUGGAAUUUUGUGUCUUUUACGUUAGAUCAAUUUCACCCGGUCGUAGUGUGAAGCAACUCAUAAACCAUCCUCAAAAUGAUUAUCAAAAAAGAAAUAAAUCAAUUUUCUUAACAGCUUCCUAAGUGAAAAGCUUUAAUUUGGGCACAGGUGAUCCCAAGUCCCAACAAAUUAUUGGAGUCUUGUCUGCCAGGACAAUGGAGGAGUUAGAGCUACUUCUCCCCAACAAUGGGAACAAAUUCCUCUUCUUCUCCUAAAAUGAUAUAGGAAAAUUUAAUUAAAAAAUAAAAAUAAAAUCCAAGUUUGAAACCAUAGACUCCAAUUCUUAAGAGCCUAAGAAUGGAUAGAAUUUUUUAGUGUUAUGACCAUGGACGUAUCAGCCCAAAAGCUAUUCUUAGUAUUAUCAGCCAAAGCUUUUAUCUAUCAAAUUACCAAGCAAACAAGAUGCAGAACAUGCCCUACAGAAAAUAGAAUUAAAUGGUACAGAUAUGGGCAAAACAGAGAAAACAAAGAACUUCAAAUUUUUGCUGGAAAGUAAACAUUUGCCUUGAUAAGGUAUAUGGUUCACUCAGCUAUUCUCCUAUUCAAAUCCAUAGACAGUCAUUCCUCCAUCCACAGCGAUAACUUGACCAGUGAUAUAGGAAGCAGCCGGCAGACAAAGGAAAGCAACCAGGGAGGAGACUUCUUCUGGUUCUCCCGUUCGCCUCAUAGGAGUUCUUGAUUCUACCCUCUCCUCGUAUUCUUUGUCACUCAAUUUCUCUUCAACUAAUGAGGUUCUAAUAUACCAUGGCGCAACAGAAUUAACUCGAAUGUUAUCUUUAGCCCACUCACAAGCCAGAUUUUUGGUGAGUUGAUUCAUUGCACCUUUUGUCAUUGAAUAAACAGAUAAAUGGUGAACAUGUACCAGGCCUGCGACUGAGGACAUGAACACGAUGUUCCCAAUCCCAGAUGCUUUCAGAAGCGGAUAAGCAAGUUGAGAGAAAUGAUAACCAGAAUCAAGAUUUGUAGACAUAAUCAUAUUAUACUCUUCAGCAGUGAACGCUUCAGCUUGCCUGAAUACACCUGUUCCAACAUUGUUGACGAGGAUAUUGAGCUUCCCAUUGAAGAUGGAAGAGACCUCUCCGAUGAGCUGAGUUCUUUGCUCUCUUGAAGAUGCAUCACAGACCGAACCGGUGACUUUGAAUCCCUUGGAGGACCACUCUUGCAACCGUUCAUUCAGUUCUGAUUCUUUUCUUGAAAAAGUGUGCACUUUUGCUCCCAGUCCGGCUAGUUCCUCCACGAUUGCACACCCGAUUCCUCGAGUUCCACCGGUGACCAGAGCCGUCAUUCCAGAUAGAGACCAUCUUGAACUAAUUUUUCCUACGGUACUUUCCAUGAUUGAUGGUGGGAUGAGCCUCAAGAUGUCAAAAGCCUGAUCUUGAUAUAGAGAUUUUUGGCAAAUGACUUGUUAAGAUAAUGCAACAUCCCAUUUUAUCGAGAAAGGUUAGGUUCGGUAAUCAGACGUCAUGAAUUGUAAUAGAAAGUUAUCGACUCAUGGGUUCAAGACUUUCCACUUAAAAAAAAAAGGAAAAAUCAUUCAAAACGUUUAUUUCUUUUUGUAAAUUGACUUUUUUCGUCCCUCACAUUUAAAAGUAUAAUUUUAUAUCCCUUACAAAUUCACAUUAAUCAAAUUUGCUCAUUAUCUAGGUUUCUGACUAGUUUUUAGUUGGAAUCCAUCACGUGUCUUACAUGUGAUAAUUUUUUAAGAGUAAAAUUGUCAAAUCAAAUUUUACAUAAUUCGAUUCAUAGUCCCUCACAUUUCAUAAAAUGAAUUUUUUUCUUCCCUCACAUUUUUCAAAAUGAAUUUUUUCAUCUCUCAUUGAUCAUGUGCAUGAAUAGGUGAUGCAAGUUCUGAUCCGUGGCAAGUUCUGAUCGAUCUUAUUGUUUCUUUGGCAUAUUGUCGUAUUAUUCUCUUUGGCUAUUCUGAUCAACAAAAUUUGUUAAAUUGUCAAAAGUUCUGAUCCGUGUCUCUUUGGAGUAUUAUUCUCGUUCGUCGGCUCCACGGAUCAGAACUUGCAUCACCUAUUGACAAUUGGUCCAAAGAAACAAUAUGCCAAAGGUCCUUUUCACGGAAUAAACGCGAGAAUGGUUGGCUGUUGAAUCACGUUCAUAUCCAAAGUUUGACUUGCUCGUGUUUAUCACUUCAUUUUUAACACAAUAAUCUGAACGUGACAUGUGGAAAAUUAGUGCUGAAUGUCUCACAUUUGCCAGUAAUUAAUAGAGGUCAUUUUUAAGUCGUAAGGUGCCAUAGCUGAAGAAAAGAUUGAUAAAAUUGCCGAGCUGGGUGUGAGUGAAAUUUGUUUGUGAUUUUGAGACUUAACUAGAAUAAUUUACAGUUUAGUAGUAUCUUGCUUUGAGUGUUAUGAUACAAGACUCUUGGAGUUUUCACCAUUGUUUAAUAGUAAUUGGUGUUAUUUAAGUUGUCUAUCACUUCAUUUGUCUUCUUUACCAGUAAUUUAAUACGAUAGUGACUUUAGAUCCAUCACGAUCUUAAAUGGCUAAGGUCCUUUUCUCUUUUCAUAAUGUCUCAAAGGAUUUUGUCAAUUAGUGUCGAGUUCAUUUGGACCCGCAUGUUAAUUUAUGUAACUUGUAAAUUGUGAUCAUGCAUGUAUUUGGAUGAACUCGAGCACGGUUGUCAAUGACAAUCAAUGUAAUACUUUUGAAUCCCUUGUAACUUCUAUUUGAAUUACUUAUAAAAUUUCAUAACGACUCAUAAUUAUAAUACUCCCUCCGUCCCGUUUUCUUAGUCUUGGUUUUUUUUUCACACAGAUUAAGAAAGUGUAAUUAAUUUGGUUGGAAACAUAAAUUUAGAUUAAUAAUUUCCUAAAAUACCCUUAUGCUAAUCAAUGUAGUCUAUGUAUUCAAUGUAUUGGAAAAGCUCAAUGUAUUCAAUGUAGUGGGUUAGUAUUUAAUAACAAUGUAUUAAUAACAAGAUAUUUAAUAAGGGUAUUUUAGACAAUUUGAAAGAUUACUAUAUUUCUUAAUGGGAAAGUGGACUACAAUUUGGGACGGACAAAAAAGGAAAACAAGACUAACAAAGUGGGACGGAGGGAGUACAUGAUAUUCAUAUAAAUAGUAAUAGAAUAUUACACUUUUGGUAUAAAUAUGUACAAGUAGUUAAGAUAUAAUUAUAACUUGUUUAAAAAACAUUACACUGUUCUGAACGAUUGUUAGUGACAAUCAUCCGUGCUCCAUAUCCUAUUUGGAUUAGGUUCCUCUGCCAACUCAACCAUCCAUUUAAAAAUCAAUACUAGGAUCAAGUCAACCCAUUCUAACUAGAUCUCCAAUCAACUACUCCCUCUGUAUUAAUAUGUUUGUAGCUUUCAUGAAUCCAACAUUUUAAAAAAUAGUGUUUUGAUUAUAAUGUUUGUAAUUUUUUUUUUCAAUUUUACCUCCAAAAUUUCAAAAUUUUAAAUUUGUAUAUGAAAUGUGUAUGAAUAGAGGAAUGGGCAACAUUGACAAUAGGCUAAAAAUGAUUCUGACUUAUGUAACACGACAAACAUUUUAAAACAUUUCAAAUGUAAAAUAUGACAAAUAUUUUGGUAAUUUUUUUUUCGGAAACGAUAACAAUUGUGUUAGGAAUUAAUAGAUAUACAGACUUUACUAUAUCAAAGGGGUGUUUUGACAUUAUCCUUAAAUUUUUUUCACUGUAAGCUAGCUGCUGCACUCUUGUUUUCAAGUCUACAAUUUGACGAAGUACUCGUGAGCUGUUUAUAUACCUGAUGUGCCUUUGUCUAAUGAGCACGCGAGCAUGGACAGCUUUAUCUCAUCUUCGUAAAAAAGUUGUUUCUCAUGUGCAAUGCCAAUGCAUCUUCCUGCAAACCCUUUUCGGCAUGGAAAGAAAGAGCUUCGAAGAAACCCAGCAAGGAAAAGGGAAAAUAAAACUUGGGUUCCUUUUAGAAAUCUUGAAUUUUCCUGCUAGAUUUUAGUCUGCAAAAUUUGUGUGUGUGAAUGGGGUAGAAAGAUAGUCUCGUGCGGGAGUGUUUGUGGGCGUCAGUGAUGCAUGUAAAUUGCGCAACGGAUCAUCAAGUUGUCUGUUUGAAUGGUGAAGAUGAUGAAAAGAGGACAGAGGUUGUUUGGGUUUUAGGAUUUUUUCCCUUGAUAAAUUGUGAUUUUAUUAGAGAGUUUUUGUUUUACCUGGUUUUGGUUAAAGAAAUUAAGUUUUCUGUUCGGUUAAUCGAUUAAUCAAUUUAACAUGGUCCGAGUUCGGUUAUUUGAGGGUUUGGUUUAUCAAGAAACACUUGACAAGAUUAUAAGGAGUGAGACAGGAUGUAAUACAAAAGAUCCGUUGCAGAUUUAAACUCCCACCUACAACUAGCCACUAAGCCAAGCUCAGUGGUACUUGACAAAAUAUUUUGGCACUUGACAAAGCGGUUUCUCUACUAAGCGCAGAGAGACUCGGUUCAACCAUUUAACUGCAUCCUUACUCUAUCCAGAAAUGGCAAAUUGAUGAGUUACUCAAGAUUUGGAUGGUUCACACGAAGGGUUCUAAAAAUAGAUAAAAUCAGUCAAAGACAGCUAAUUAACACUUUAUUUUAUUUAAUUGUCAAUCAAUGUUACGUGUAUCAAAGGAAGGUUGUAUAAGACAAUAUUCUAGUCAAAUUGGAGCUAUUAACCUACUUUGACUAGUGAAUACGCAGCAAAAACUGGAAUAGCUCAUGAUCCAACCUAUUCUUAAUCAUCCGACGAAAGGGCAACUAGUCCUUUUCUAAGAUGACACAAGACCAAUCAUAUGCAUUCUUUUGCUAGAAGGUAGGAGCAAGUCCAAUAACUCGGCAAGAAACCAUUUUUCUUUCUUUGGGGCCAAAGACAGUAAGAAACUGUAGUUGAAAGAAGACAUAUACCACCAAGCAUUGGAAGAGAGAGAGAAAGAGAAGCCAAAAAGGACCUGUACGUAACAAAUAUCUAGCCUUCGACCCAUAGACUUAAACUAGGGAUAAUUGCAGAAACCUCCCUUGAGGUUUGUAAUAGUUGGAUUGACGUCCCCUAAGAUUUUAAACAUAGCACUAACAUCCCCUGAACUUAAGUUUUUUGAUAGCAGAUUUAGCCUAUAUCAGAGAAAAUGCCAUUAAAAAAUCUUUUGAGAAAUAAGAUAAUAAUUUUGUUUCAUUUGUAACUUUUUGUCUCUUGUAAGGCUGGAUUAGUAAAAGAAUGAAAAACAUUAAAAAAUGAAAACAAUUAGUGAAACACUUAGGCUGCAGUAGCAAUAACUAGAAGAAACAACGAAUAUACGUUCAGAAAUUUGAGAUUCUAAAACAUAUAAAAUGUACAAACAACUCCAAAAACUCUCAUUUACUAAAGAAACUUUUUGAAUUAAAUUGAGAUGACAAUGGAUUACUUACCUAUUAUCUCUUGAUUGUCGUAAAUUUUUAAUAAAAAAAUCCUUAGAUUUUGCCUUGAUUUCUACUUACUUUCUCCUUUCAUUUCAUGAAUACUUAAGAUAAAGUAAGAUCAACCAAAACCACUAGAACUUAUUCUUUUAUGGAACCCUUUUUGGAGGUUUCUUUCCCCUACAUUUUUCUUGCUUCUGCUUCUCUUCUACGCAAAUAAUAUAUAACUUGGACUGUCCUCUCAAGUGUUGUCAAUUACAAAAUAAUGCCACAUCGGAGCAUCAAUUUGCGUCAUUUUGUAAGUAUACUGACAAUGUUUAAUCAGAUAAGAAAUAACCGUUAAUCUUGUUUAAUUAGUUACCAUGAACUUGUUAAUUGCCCUAAUUUUUUUUUGCCCCAAAUUUGUUUACAAACAACCUUAAACUCUAAGGAUAUGUAAGUAAAUUCAUCCUAUCUUGCGUUAGCUAUAUAUAGACCCCAAAUUCAUGCUAGGGGAGGUAAGUGCUAUUUUCAAAAUCUCAAAAGAGAUGAGUGUAACUGUUAAAAACCUUGGGGAGGUUUCUGCAAUUAUCCCCUUAAACUAUAGGCUGGACCUUUGCCUGCAUGAGAUACUUGCACAUCACUGAUUGUCAUUAGGUUUCAAACUCAACAUAAAGGGCUGCAGCAUUUUUUGGAUUAUUAUCAUUUUACCCCCUUAACAUUCGGUGCUACUAUUAAUUUCUCCCUUAACAUUACCUUUAAAUCACUUUACCCCCAAGACUAACAGUCAAACUUGACGGAGUUUGUUAAUUAAAGUAAAAAUACAUGUUUAGCCCUUAAAAUUAUUAUCACUUUACCCCCCAUAAACUAUAGUUUCAUUAUCAAUUUACCUCUAGAGUUAUUUUUUAGACAAUUUAUCCUACCAUUAAACCAAUUUAGUAAGUUAAAAAAACUUUAGAAGAAAGUACCCUACUCU